RNAcentral lists this ribosomal RNA (497 nucleotides) under uncultured bacterium. RNAcentral's name for it is "partial 16S ribosomal RNA". It matches the Rfam family "Bacterial small subunit ribosomal RNA", at positions 28 to 507 of the family's 1533-position model. The record is from RNAcentral.
GAUGAACGCUGGCGGCGUGCCUAAUACAUGCAAGUCGAGCGAACAGACGAGGAGCUUGCUCCUUUGACGUUAGCGGCGGACGGGUGAGUAACACGUGGAUAACCUACCUAUAAGACUGGGAUAACUUCGGGAAACCGGAGCUAAUACCGGAUAAUAUGUUGAACCGCAUGGUUCAACAGUGAAAGACGGUUUUGCUGUCACUUAUAGAUGGAUCCGCGCUGCAUUAGCUAGUUGGUAAGGUAACGGCUUACCAAGGCAACGAUGCGUAGCCGACCUGAGAGGGUGAUCGGCCACACUGGAACUGAGACACGGUCCAGACUCCUACGGGAGGCAGCAGUAGGGAAUCUUCCGCAAUGGGCGAAAGCCUGACGGAGCAACGCCGCGUGAGUGAAGAAGGUCUUCGGAUCGUAAAACUCUGUUAUUAGGGAAGAACAAAUGUGUAAGUAACUGUGCACAUCUUGACGGUACCUAAUCAGAAAGCCACGGCUAACUACGUG